RNAcentral lists this ribosomal RNA (456 nucleotides) under uncultured bacterium. RNAcentral's name for it is "bacterial SSU rRNA". It matches the Rfam family "Bacterial small subunit ribosomal RNA", at positions 58 to 518 of the family's 1533-position model. The record is from RNAcentral.
CGAAGCGAUUGAGGAGGAAGUUUCGGACGGAAUUCGCGUUUGACUUAGUGGCGGACGGGUGAGUAACGCGUGGGUAACCUGCCGUAUGCAGGGGGACGAACAGCUGGAAACGGCUGCUAAUACCGCAUAAGCGCACAGCAUCGCAUGGUGCAGUGUGAAAAAGAUUUAUCGGCAUACGAUGGACCCGCGUUGGAUUAGGCAGUUGGCGGGGUAACGGCCCCCCAAACCGACGAUCCAUAGCCGGCCUGAGAGGGUGAACGGCCACAUUGGGACUGAGACACGGCCCAAACUCCUACGGGAGGCAGCAGUGGGGAAUAUUGCACAAUGGGGGAAACCCUGAUGCAGCGAACCGCCGCGUGAGUGAAGAAGUAUUUCGGUAUGUAAAGCUCUAUCAGCAGGGAAGAAGAUGACGGUACCUGCACAAGAAGCCCCGGCUAACUACGUGCCAGCAGCCGC